Long non-coding RNA from Prunus avium (sweet cherry), 385 nucleotides. RefSeq lists it as uncharacterized. The record is from RefSeq and is a predicted model, not a curated record. Lineage: Eukaryota; Viridiplantae; Streptophyta; Magnoliopsida; Rosales; Rosaceae.
UGUGUAAAUCUCAUCAUAUAUCAAACCCCAUUCCAAAACUCCCUCAUCUUGUAGACACACUCCAUUGCAAACCCCCUAGCGUUUCAAACACACCCCAUCGCACACCCCAUCCAAUUUGCAACAGGCUCUAUCACAAACCCCUAUCGCAGCCAGACGAUCUCACCCUCAUCACAAACCCAUCUGACCUCAAAAUCCUUCAAAAAGCCAAGAUGACUCGCAAGGCUUCAUUAUCUGGACCUAAUACACAGUGUCCCACAGCCUUAACGAGGAAAGAUAUAGCGGUGAGGUUAGCCCCUCAAGAGGACCAGCCUCAGCAUGGUCCCCGAGACCACUUUAAGGAUACUAUAGAGGUUGAAGAUGUAGCUGCUACUCAUGAUAGUAAUGU